GCCUGGGUGGCUCAGUGAUUGAGCACCUGCCUUUGGCUCAGGAUGUGAUCCUGCUGUCCCAGGAUCAAGUCCUGCAUCAGGCU
This 83-nucleotide transfer RNA is filed under the name Canis lupus dingo (dingo). It matches the Rfam family "tRNA". Rfam says of the family: Transfer RNA (tRNA) molecules are approximately 80 nucleotides in length. Their secondary structure includes four short double-helical elements and three loops (D, anti-codon, and T loops). The record is from Rfam by way of RNAcentral. Lineage: Eukaryota; Metazoa; Chordata; Mammalia; Carnivora; Canidae.